UACAGAGGCCCCAAGCGUUAGGCGGAAUCACUGGGCUUAAAGCGUGUGUAGGCGGACUUCUAAGUGUCUUGUGAAAUCCCACGGCUCAACCGUGGAACUGCUGGGCAUACUGCGGGUCUUGGGCCAACUAGGGGCAGCCGGAACAAGCGGUGGAGCGGUGAAAUGCGUAGAUAUCGCUUGGAACGCCGAAGGUGAAAACAGGCUGCUGGGGUUGCGCCGACGCUGAGACACGAAAGCCAGGGGAGCGAACGGG
Molecule: ribosomal RNA, 253 nt
Filed under: uncultured bacterium
Lineage: Bacteria
Description: partial 16S ribosomal RNA
Rfam family: Bacterial small subunit ribosomal RNA
Source: RNAcentral